This 391-nucleotide ribosomal RNA is filed under the name Calacalles moraguesi. Its description in RNAcentral is "eukaryotic LSU rRNA". It matches the Rfam family "Eukaryotic large subunit ribosomal RNA", at positions 1340 to 1663 of the family's 3401-position model. Lineage: Eukaryota; Metazoa; Arthropoda; Insecta; Coleoptera; Curculionidae. The record is from RNAcentral.
GCUUAUACUCGACCGUCAGCGGCAUGUGCGAUCGCGGCCCGCGAGGGUAUUUAACCGGUCACGAAGCCCUGACGAGUAGGAGGGUCGCGGCGGUGAGCGCAGAAGGGCUGGCCGCGAGGCCGUCUGGAGCCGCCGUCGGUGCAGAUCUUGGUGGUAGUAGCAAAUACUCCAGCGAGGCCCUGGAGGACUGACGUGGAGAAGGGUUUCGUGUGAACAGCCGUUGCACACGAGUCAGUCGAUCCUAAGCCCUAGGCGAAAGCCGAUGUCGAUGCGGUGUAGCUUUAUUGUGAUAUAUAAACAAAAUAUAUUGUUGAACGCACACACCCGUCGGGCGAAAGGGAAUCCGGUUCCUAUUCCGGAACCUGGCAGCGGAACCGUCAAUAAGUCGGGC